RNAcentral lists this small RNA (82 nucleotides) under Pseudofrankia asymbiotica. Its description in RNAcentral is "Frankia asymbiotica Actinobacteria sRNA Ms_AS-4". It matches the Rfam family "Actinobacteria sRNA Ms_AS-4". Lineage: Bacteria; Bacillati; Actinomycetota; Actinomycetes; Frankiales; Frankiaceae. The record is from Rfam by way of RNAcentral.
UUUCGCGUCGGUGUAGCGGGUCGGGUCGUCUCCGAACUCGGCGAGCACCCGGGCGGCGAGGACCGGUCCCAGUCCUGGCUGG